UAGAGUUUGAUCCUGGCUCAGAUUGAACGCUGGCGGCAGGCCUAACACAUGCAAGUCGAGCGGAAACGAGUUAUCUGAACCUUCGGGGAACGAUAACGGCGUCGAGCGGCGGACGGGUGAGUAAUGCCUAGGAAAUUGCCUUGAUGUGGGGGAUAACCAUUGGAAACGAUGGCUAAUACCGCAUAAUGCCUACGGGCCAAAGAGGGGGACCUUCGGGCCUCUCGCGUCAAGAUAUGCCUAGGUGGGAUUAGCUAGUUGGUGAGGUAAUGGCUCACCAAGGCGACGAUCCCUAGCUGGUCUGAGAGGAUGAUCAGCCACACUGGAACUGAGACACGGUCCAGACUCCUACGGGAGGCAGCAGUGGGGAAUAUUGCACAAUGGGCGCAAGCCUGAUGCAGCCAUGCCGCGUGUAUGAAGAAGGCCUUCGGGUUGUAAAGUACUUUCAGCAGUGAGGAAGGGGGUGUCGUUA
Molecule: ribosomal RNA, 469 nt
Filed under: Vibrio sp. D72
Lineage: Bacteria; Pseudomonadati; Pseudomonadota; Gammaproteobacteria; Vibrionales; Vibrionaceae
Description: bacterial SSU rRNA
Rfam family: Bacterial small subunit ribosomal RNA
Source: RNAcentral